RNAcentral lists this unclassified non-coding RNA (332 nucleotides) under soil metagenome. Its description in RNAcentral is "partial contains 5.8S ribosomal RNA, internal transcribed spacer 2, and large subunit ribosomal RNA". The stretch from base 1 to 120 matches the Rfam family "5.8S ribosomal RNA", at positions 35 to 154 of the family's 154-position model. The record is from RNAcentral.
GAUGAAGAACGCAGCAAAAUGCGAUAAGUAAUGUGAAUUGCAGAAUUCGGUGAAUCAUCGAAUCUUUGAACGCACAUUGCGCCCGCCAGUAUUCUGGCGGGCAUGCCUGUUCGAGCGUCAUUUCAACCCUCAAGCACAGCUUGGUGUUGGGACUCGCGUUAAUUCGCGUUCCCCAAAUUGAUUGGCGGUCACGUCGAGCUUCCAUAGCGUAGUAGUAAAACCCUCGUUACUGGUAAUCGUCGCGGCCACGCCGUUAAACCCCAACUUCUGAAUGUUGACCUCGGAUCAGGUAGGAAUACCCGCUGAACUUAAGCAUAUCAAUAAGCGGAGGA